Molecule: ribosomal RNA, 448 nt
Filed under: uncultured bacterium
Lineage: Bacteria
Description: SSU rRNA
Rfam family: Bacterial small subunit ribosomal RNA
Source: RNAcentral
AGAGCGAACGCUGGCGGCAGGCUUAACACAUGCAAGUCGAGCGGGCGUAGCAAUACGUCAGCGGCAGACGGGUGAGUAGCGCGUGGGAACGUACCUUUUGGUUCGGAACAACACAGGGAAACUUGUGCUAAUACCGGAUAAGCCCUUACGGGGAAAGAUUUAUCGCCAAAAGAUCGGCCCGCGUCUGAUUAGCUAGUUGGUGAGGUAACGGCUCACCAAGGCGACGAUCAGUAGCUGGUCUGAGAGGAUGAUCAGCCACAUUGGGACUGAGACACGGCCCAAACUCCUACGGGAGGCAGCAGUGGGAAUAUUGGACAAUGGGCGCAAGCCUGAUCCAGCCAUGCCGCGUGAGUGAUGAAGGCCCUAGGGUUGUAAAGCUCUUUUGUGCGGGAAGAUAAUGACGGUACCGCAAGAAUAACGCCCCGGCUAACUUCGCGCCAGCAGCCGC